Long non-coding RNA from Salvia splendens (bonfire salvia), 1282 nucleotides. RefSeq lists it as uncharacterized. Lineage: Eukaryota; Viridiplantae; Streptophyta; Magnoliopsida; Lamiales; Lamiaceae. The transcript has 2 exons. The record is from RefSeq and is a predicted model, not a curated record.
CUUCCUCCCUCAUUUCAAAACACUACACAGCAGCUUCUCUCUCUCUCUCGCCUGGACUCCGCCGCCGCCAGCUUCUCCGCCGCCGAUCGGUGGCGGCCCUCUCCUCCACCGCGUCUCUCUCUCUCUCCUUCACCCCCUUCUCUCUUCCCUUAUCUCCUCACAGUCACGCCGCCGUCACUCCCGUUCCAGUUUCGCCGCCGCCGCCGCCACUGUGCAUGCACAGGCGGCAGCUUCACCGUCCUCUUCCCGGGAGUUCGCCGUCUGCAUGCCCCCCCUCUCUCUGUGCAGAUUCGCCACACCGCCAUCGCCGCUGCGAGUCCGCCGUGGCAGCGGGUUCGGGUUCGCGCCCCGCCGCCGUCACCGAGAAUCUCCCCAGCCGCCGAAGCCGUUCCCGACAGAUUCAAGGAAUAAAAAGGGCAGAUGUGUUGUUUUUAUUUAUUUAUUUAUUUUUUUUAUCGUGGCUGCCAUCGAUGUCGACGGAGUGCCGAGCUCGAUGCCGGAAGUUCUUUGACAGAUUCCUUUAUCGUUACAAGCUAAGUUCUUAAUAUCCUUUGAGAAUUUGCUAUUCUUGUUUUCUUGGAAUGCUAUGGAUAUUAUGUCCCUGCUAAAUUGUUCAUAUGAAAUACCUAUAAAUGCUAAAUUGGUGUUCUAUAAUAAUGGGUGCUAAGUUCAUAUAUUGGCAGAGACAUGCUUGGCAAUAUGUUGUAAUAUGUGAAAGAAAGAGAGGUGUUAGAUGGUACUUACUUUUGUGGUGUGAAGAAGAGAAUAAGUGGUUGCUUUUAGACUUUGUCCUCUAUGAGGUGGACGUCCGGUGGAGGGAUUCUUGCUGCCUUUGGAGAUGAGAUAAUUUUGGUAUGAGGUGGGGCAAGUGAAAGGGAUGGAUCAUGGAUGAUAUUUAGGAUGAGGAAACAAGUUGCAGACAAAAAUCAUAUCUUACAAAAUUCUCCUGAUACUUGAAGAUAUGGUUGCAAGAUACACAUUAAAUGCUGCAUUAAAUGCAGCCGUAAAAGAAACGAUCUUGUAGGAUAUUGUUAGGAUUUGUAUUAGCUUUUCAAAUCUGCUUUGUUUUCCAUCUUGCCUUAUUUACUCAUUUAAAAAAAAGCAUUUGCUUACUAUUGUUUUAUUUGGUGCAGGAAAGAACCCGUUUCAAGCUCGCAACUGACCGCGUAGUAGUUCCCGAUCUUCUUUAGAACGAAGGAUGUAUUAAAUUUUGUUGAAAUUUUAUGGAUGUAUCGGACAUUAUUAUUAUUUUGAUUUUUGGGCUCUUAUUUAUUUAUUUAAA